UCAGAAACCGAAAGUUAGUUUUUGUACUAAAAUGGCGAGCAGAGCUGUUGUCUUCUUAGCGUCCUUCAUUGUUUUCAAUGGAGGGUGUGGUGUGUUUUGUAACACUCCUGUGGACUGUGAAACUGGGAAAUCGUGCACUUUCAAUCCAGGAGUAACAAAACCUGAAACUAUUGAAUGGAAAUACAGUAAAACUGUAGAUAAUGUGAUAAAAGUGCUUGACUGGGAUCCUCAGAUUACAAAACCAAAUAAUACUUUUUGGUUUCCACGACUUGUAAAUCGAGCAACACUUGACCCUAAAACUGCAGCGCUUACAAUUCUACAGGUGAAGAAAGAAGACAGUGGUUUCUAUACAUGUGAAAUCCAGAUGAAGGGAGCGCUAACGUAUUACCAUUAUAAAGUCGAAGUGUUUGAUCCUGUUCCAAAGCCAAAAGUUAAGUGUGUGCUAAAUGGCCCAGUUGUAACAGCACUUUUGUGUUCAGUGGACCCUCAAGUACAGGCAACAAUUGAAUGGCAAAUACCAAAUGAAGGGAAAAGAGGGAGUGAGAGAAUUGAUAUCCCUGAAGGACACUCAGAGGACUGAGCAAUGAGUCAACAGAUUUCACUCUGAAGACGUGUAAAGAAUGAGUGCAAUCUGUCCUACAAAAAGGCCGCUGCAGAGAUGUUCCGAACCCCACAUCAAGAGUCUGCUUAUCCUCAAAAAGUUUGACAACUCCAAAGGGAGCCCUAAAAGCUUUUCCCCCCAGCUGGCUAACAUGCUGAGCCACAAUUACAACAUUUCUUCCCAACAUUUACAACUUUUACCCUUGGAAGACUUUCCAUUAUGUCUCUAAACAGGUCACAAUGCAGACCCAUUUUGCUUACUCCUCCUGUGUUAUCUUAACACCAUUAUAAACACAUAUGUAAGUUAUAUAAGUUUUUCUGUCUUUAACUAAAAAUAUGGUGUUAAGUAUCAAGCCACACCGUUGGGGUAUAUCAGGAUAAAGGAACAUCUAUAUUGCAUGCUUAAAUUACACAUAUAUAAUGAUUUCUGUAUGUUAGACUUGUUUAAUCCAUGCAUGAUUUUAGAUUUUGUUCUGUUAUUGUGAUAUUAAAAGUUGUUUUUGAAUAACUUUGUGAGCCAACUUGGUGUUUUCGUCAAAACUAAGGUUUGAAGACCACCUACAGGCCUCAAUCGGUUAAACUGCAUGGUGGGCGGAAACCUGUGCAUCACGUGAUCUUAAGGGAAGUUCAAACUCAUUGGCUGUUAAUUCCUGUGUCCUAGCCCCCUUCAGUUCAUUUGAAAAGGUAGCGCAGCAUUGGUAAAAAAGAAGUUAGAAGAGGAAAAGUUAGACAAAAAAAGCAGUGGUUAACAAAGAAAGCAGUUUGUAGUUAACUAAGAGGAGCUUUUACCAUGUGAGAACGAAGGGAGCAUGUGUUAGCAUGUAGUCAACUCAGAAGGCAGCUCACUUAGAAGGAUCCAGGAGUCAAACCCACCCAGUUCAUUGUUCGUGCUUCGCAAGUUUGGUUUGAAUGUAAAUUGUUCUUAUUCAGCCACAUGUAGAGAGUUCAACUAUUCAUUGAAUUGCAAGAAACGCGUGGACCCGUGAUCCACAUCUGGACAUAUAAUCCAUAUAAGAAAAAGUAAGCCCUUCAGUCUGAUCUGAACACCUUUGAACCAACUUUUGCUGUGCCGCGGUGCCUGGGAAAAGUUCUGCUGGCAGACAAAGUCAUUUCUCCAUAGGUCAGGGCCUGAAAAGAAACCAACAUUGGGGGUGAUUCAGCACCAGAGCCGUCUCUGCAGUCCUCCUUCAGCAGGAACACGUUUUCAGGUGCUCACGGUGAAUGGUUGAUUUCGCUACAAUUUUUAUUAGUUUUCGCUAUUAAUCGACUGCAUACGCAUUAAUCAGGCUCUAAAAUCUUUGGUUUCCACCUACCAUUCAAUUAUACUUCUAUCAUUAUCACUUAGUUAUGCCAUUUACUUAUUAACUGUCAUUGUAUUUGUUAUGUUUUAUUAGUUUAAUAAACAUUAUAAUGAUUUGAAACUUAGCGCUGUGGCUUUAAUUACUUCGGUGAGAAAAGAAUCAGUUUAUGUACUCACUCCAACAGAAAGGGACUGAUAUGUUUUGAAUUAGGUUCUCCGGCAUGGUAUCCUUAAAAGAGCCAGUGGUGCUCUGUAUCUUGGCUAUUAAUUAUAUAAUUAAAUAAUUAAUUAAUAUUCUCUGUUUUUGCUUCUAAAUUGCUUGGUCUCCUCUGUGCCAAAACGUCUUUUAAGUGUGGUGAAUGGGAAUGGCAACAUUACAAAAUGGUAAAUGCUUUACUGUGCUAACUUUUUUUGGAAUGUGUUGCAGGCCUGAAAUGCAGGAAUGGAUGUUUAUUAAUAAAUAAAAUGAAGUUGACCAGACAAAACAUGAAAUAUCUCGGGUUCAUCCUGUCUGCAAUUAAAUUAAAGUCAAAGUAAAUGUUGAGUUUGAAAUCCAUGGAUGUAUGUUUAGGAUUUACCACUCUUAGCCUGUUCCACCCACCCUAAAUCCCAACAAGACGAUGCACAAAGCCAUGUAACUCCAGUGUAUACACUCCAGUAAGAUAUGGGAUUACAGUAUUGUGCAACUUUCCCUGAUAUGACAUCUUCAGAGGAUCUUUCUGGUGAUACAACACGGCAAGUCUUGACCAGCCCAGUAAUUGGAACCGUCCUCUCAAACCAACUGUUUAUGUAAAGUAGGAGCCAAAGUACUGUUCUGGUACAGUGGUAGCCACAGCAGACCAUGCUCCUCAAGCACAAGAUCCCUUCCUCAGUAGACAGGAGUUACACCUCAUGGCAGCAAGGGGGUGCCAGGUCCCCACAGGAGCAGUGUGAGGUAGAGAAAGUGGCAGUAACACAGGCAACAACACAAGUAGAACUACAAUAGUUCAUCAUUUUGAAUGUAGAAUUUAAACAGUAUCAGUGGAAAACAAUUACAAGUGCUAACUAAACAUUCUUACCAUGAAAGAAAUGCACUCAGCAUAUUAAUGUUCUGUAGUUAUAAUAAGAUGAUACAAUUUU
Trichomycterus rosablanca is the source of this 3019-nucleotide RNA transcript. RefSeq lists it as uncharacterized. NCBI's taxonomy places the organism in Eukaryota, Metazoa, Chordata, Actinopteri, Siluriformes, Trichomycteridae. The transcript has 6 exons. The record is from RefSeq and is a predicted model, not a curated record.